AUGCUGGAGGUAUCAGAAGUGCGAAUGCUGACAUAAGUAACGAUAAAGCGGGUGAAAAGCCCGCUCGCCGGAAGACCAAGGGUUCCUGUCCAACGUUAAUCGGGGCAGGGUGAGUCGACCCCUAAGGCGAGGCCGAAAGGCGUAGUCGAUGGGAAACAGGUUAAUAUUCCUGUACUUGGUGUUACUGCGAAGGGGGGACGGAGAAGGCUAUGUUGGCCGGGCGACGGUUGUCCCGGUUUAAGCGUGUAGGCUGGUUUUCCAGGCAAAUCCGGAAAAUCAAGGCUGAGGCGUGAUGACGAGGCACUACGGUGCUGAAGCAACAAAUGCCCUGCUUCCAGGAAAAGCCUCUAAGCAUCAGGUAACAUCAAAUCGUACCCCAAACCGACACAGGUGGUCAGGUAGAGAAUACCAAGGCGCUUGAGAGAACUCGGGUGAAGGAACUAGGCAAAAUGGUGCCGUAACUUCGGGAGAAGGCACGCUGAUAUGUAGGUGAAGCGACUUGCUCGUGGAGCUGAAAUCAGUCGAAGAUACCAGCUGGCUGCAACUGUUUAUUAAAAACACAGCACUGUGCAAACACGAAAGUGGACGUAUACGGUGUGACGCCUGCCCGGUGCCGGAAGGUUAAUUGAUGGGGUUAGCGCAAGCGAAGCUCUUGAUCGAAGCCCCGGUAAACGGCGGCCGUAACUAUAACGGUCCUAAGGUAGCGAAAUUCCUUGUCGGGUAAGUUCCGACCUGCACGAAUGGCGUAAUGAUGGCCAGGCUGUCUCCACCCGAGACUCAGUGAAAUUGAACUCGCUGUGAAGAUGCAGUGUACCCGCGGCAAGACGGAAAGACCCCGUGAACCUUUACUAUAGCUUGACACUGAACAUUGAGCCUUGAUGUGUAGGAUAGGUGGGAGGCUUUGAAGUGUGGACGCCAGUCUGCAUGGAGCCGACCUUGAAAUACCACCCUUUAAUGUUUGAUGUUCUAACGUUGGCCCGUUAUCCGGGUUGCGGACAGUGUCUGGUGGGUAGUUUGACUGGGGCGGUCUCCUCCUAAAGAGUAACGGAGGAGCACGAAGGUUGGCUAAUCCUGGUCGGACAUCAGGAGGUUAGUGCAAUGGCAUAAGCCAGCUUGACUGCGAGCGUGACGGCGCGAGCAGGUGCGAAAGCAGGUCAUAGUGAUCCGGUGGUUCUGAAUGGAAGGGCCAUCGCUCAACGGAUAAAAGGUACUCCGGGGAUAACAGGCUGAUACCGCCCAAGAGUUCAUAUCGACGGCGGUGUUUGGCACCUCGAUGUCGGCUCAUCACAUCCUGGGGCUGAAGUAGGUCCCAAGGGUAUGGCUGUUCGCCAUUUAAAGUGGUACGCGAGCUGGGUUUAGAACGUCGUGAGACAGUUCGGUCCCUAUCUGCCGUGGGCGCUGGAGAACUGAGGGGGGCUGCUCCUAGUACGAGAGGACCGGAGUGGACGCAUCACUGGUGUUCGGGUUGUCAUGCCAAUGGCACUGCCCGGUAGCUAAAUGCGGAAGAGAUAAGUGCUGAAAGCAUCUAAGCACGAAACUUGCCCCGAGAUGAGUUCUCCCUGACUCCCUGAGAGUCCUGAAGGAACGUUGAAGACGACGACGUUGAUAGGCCGGGUGUGUAAGCGCAGCGAUGCGUUGAGCUAACCGGUACUAAUGAACCGUGAGGCUUAACCUUACAACGCCGAAG
RNAcentral lists this ribosomal RNA (1687 nucleotides) under Escherichia coli. RNAcentral's name for it is "partial 23S ribosomal RNA". It matches the Rfam family "Bacterial large subunit ribosomal RNA", at positions 1270 to 2925 of the family's 2925-position model. The record is from RNAcentral. Lineage: Bacteria; Pseudomonadati; Pseudomonadota; Gammaproteobacteria; Enterobacterales; Enterobacteriaceae.